Molecule: small nuclear RNA, 163 nt
Organism: Peromyscus eremicus (cactus mouse)
Lineage: Eukaryota; Metazoa; Chordata; Mammalia; Rodentia; Cricetidae
Product: U1 spliceosomal RNA
Exons: 1
Source: RefSeq, a predicted model, not a curated record
AUCCUUACAUGGUAGGGGAAAUGCCAUGAUCAAAAGGUCAUUUUCCCAGGAUGAGGCUCAUCCAUUGCCCUUGGGAUGUGUUAACCCCUAUGAAUUUCCCCCAAAUGCUAAAAACUUGACUGCAUAAUUUGUGGUAGUUAGGACUUUGUAUGUAUGUAUGUAU